AUUGAACGCUGGCGGCAGGCCUAACACAUGCAAGUCGAACGAGUGGCGGACGGGUGAGUAAUGUCUGGGAAACUGCCUGAUGGAGGGGGAUAACUACUGGAAACGGUGGCUACUACCGCAUACCAUCAGAUGUGCCCAGAUUGGAUUAGCUGGUUGGUGGGGUAACGGCUCACCAAGGCGACGAUCCCUAGCUGGUCUGAGAGGAUGACCAGCCACACUGGAACUGUGACACGGUCCAGCCUCCUACGGGAGGCAGCGGUGGGGAACAUUGCACAAUGGGCGCAAGCCUGAUGCAGCCAUGCCGCGUGUAUGAAGAAGGCCUUCGGGUUGUAAAGUACUUUCAGCGGGGAGGCGUUACCCGCAGAAGAAGCACCGGCUAACUCCGUGCCAGCAGCCGCGGUAAUUC
This 406-nucleotide ribosomal RNA is filed under the name uncultured bacterium. Its description in RNAcentral is "partial 16S ribosomal RNA". It matches the Rfam family "Bacterial small subunit ribosomal RNA", at positions 30 to 526 of the family's 1533-position model. The record is from RNAcentral.